Molecule: non-coding RNA, 74 nt
Filed under: unclassified sequences
Source: RNAcentral
GUAGGUCUACUCUACCUCUAAUGCGGCCACCGCAAAGGUGAGAGUCACAAGCCUCUACAAACGCAGAGUGGAGA